AAAAAGGGCUUCACUUGUGAGUGGCACAUGUAGGGCACCUUGAUUGCUGUACACAUGGAAUCGACAUCGAGAGAUUUCAGAAGCAUAAUUUUUUUGGUAUGUGGGCAGCUAGUGAUCAUUGGUCCUGGAGCCUGC
This is a small nuclear RNA of Pteronotus mesoamericanus, 135 nucleotides long. RefSeq annotates it as U11 spliceosomal RNA. The record is from RefSeq and is a predicted model, not a curated record. The transcript has a single exon. NCBI's taxonomy places the organism in Eukaryota, Metazoa, Chordata, Mammalia, Chiroptera, Mormoopidae.